AGGAGCUUAGGAUAAAUUGAGACCGAGGGCCUUCAAAGCCCUAAGAGAAAGUGAGAAUCUUUCAGCUCCUG
Molecule: transfer RNA, 71 nt
Filed under: Opistognathus evermanni
Lineage: Eukaryota; Metazoa; Chordata; Actinopteri; Opistognathidae
Description: tRNA-Trp
Rfam family: tRNA
About the family: Transfer RNA (tRNA) molecules are approximately 80 nucleotides in length.
Source: RNAcentral